Corvus hawaiiensis (hawaiian crow) is the source of this 520-nucleotide long non-coding RNA. RefSeq lists it as uncharacterized. NCBI's taxonomy places the organism in Eukaryota, Metazoa, Chordata, Aves, Passeriformes, Corvidae. The transcript has 4 exons. The record is from RefSeq and is a predicted model, not a curated record.
UCCUGCACGAGCAAUGACUGCUCUCAUGGACAGUGGAGUCCAGAGCCGCCACGUCCAGGUGCGGAAGUGCGCGGCCCAACUCCUCCUGUCCUUGAUGGAGAAAACUGGAGUCACGAAGCUCGCAGGCACAGCCACCAGGGCGGGGAGGCUGAUUCACAUGGAGGUGAAGCUUACGCAGGACAAGGACACAAGGCAUUUAUGGGUGUGAGAUGGUGCAAAUGUUGAUGAUGCAUCAAAAACAUAAUAGGCUUUUGGAACAAUCUGUUUCCACCUGUGACCUGGGAGAUAUUCCAUCAAGAAUUAAGAAGGAAGGGAUGGAAACGCAGAAGGGUGAACGCCCAUCUGUCAAGAAGCCUGUGAAGAAGAGGAAUGAUGGCUCGAAGAAGCCCCAGGCUGAGGGGUUUUGCAGCAGCAGUGAGCUGGCAGAAGGGGGUUUUACCCCUUGCAUGCUGACACAAAAAAGCCCGAAGGUCAACGCUGAAACCCCUCUGGAAAGCGGCACUCAGUGCCCAACACACAA